RNAcentral lists this ribosomal RNA (494 nucleotides) under uncultured bacterium. Its description in RNAcentral is "bacterial SSU rRNA". It matches the Rfam family "Bacterial small subunit ribosomal RNA", at positions 28 to 525 of the family's 1533-position model. The record is from RNAcentral.
GACGAACGCUGGCGGCGUGCCUCACACAUGCAAGUCGAACGGGGAUAUAUUGAAAGCUUGCUUUUGAUAUAUCCUAGUGGCGAACGGGUGAGUAACACGUGAGCAACCUGCCCGACAAACCGGGAUAACAGCGGGAAACUGCUGCUAAUACCGGAUACACCAGGUAUGGCGCAUGCUGUAUCUGGGAAAGGGUUUACCGAUGUCGGAUGGGCUCGCGUCCCAUUAGCUAGUUGGUGAGGUAACGGCUCACCAAGGCGACGAUGGGUAGCUGGUCUGAGAGGACGAUCAGCCACACUGGAACUGAGACACGGUCCAGACUCCUACGGGAGGCAGCAGUGGGGAAUCUUGCACAAUGGGCGAAAGCCUGAUGCAGCGACGCCGCGUGGAGGAUGAAGGCCUUCGGGUCGUAAACGUCCUGUCUGGGGGAGUGAACGACUGACAGUACCCCGGACGGAAGGCCCCGGCUAACCUACGUGCCAGCAGCCGCGGUAAAG